UAAAAUCAAAGAACAAUGAAGAAGGGAGAAGAAACACUUUUUUCUACUUUUAUUUUGAUACCAUUACAAAUUUAGUUUUAGAGCAUAUUUGAUGAAAAGAAAAAUGAAUCUUUACCAUAAUUAAUAAUAUAUAAUUAAAUAUUUUUUAUUCCACUCAUGUAACUAAAUGAAAAAGAAUGCAUAAAAACAUGACUUCUUAAAGUACAUGCAAAUGUAUAUGCAUGUUUUAUACAUAAGCACAUUCUAUACAAAACAUAAGAAAAAGAAAGUGUUAUUUUGAGAUCUCUCCUUUACUAUAUAUGACUAUAACAUGUUUUGGUAAAUAUUUUAUUUCAUAAAAUAGCCAUAAUCUUAUCCAUUCACCAUAUAUUCUCUCUUAAUACUAUGUAUGGGUGUUCUUCUGCGAAGUCAUUGAUAGAUCAAAUAUAACAAAUAUGACAAUAUUAA
RNAcentral lists this long non-coding RNA (447 nucleotides) under Homo sapiens (human). Its description in RNAcentral is "non-protein coding lnc-MRPL39-35:1". Lineage: Eukaryota; Metazoa; Chordata; Mammalia; Primates; Hominidae. The record is from RNAcentral.